AGUGAACGCUGGCGGUAGGCCUAACACAUGCAAGUCGAACGGCAGCACAGGAGAGCUUGCUCUCUGGGUGGCGAGUGGCGGACGGGUGAGGAAUACAUCGGAAUCCACUCUGUCGUGGGGGAUAACGUAGGGAAACUUACGCUAAUACCGCAUACGACCUACGGGUGAAAGCAGGGGACCUUCGGGCCUUGCGCGAUUGAAUGAGCCGAUGUCGGAUUAGCUAGUUGGCGGGGUAAAGGCCCACCAAGGCGACGAUCCGUAGCUGGUCUGAGAGGAUGAUCAGCCACACUGGAACUGAGACACGGUCCAGACUCCUACGGGAGGCAGCAGUGGGGAAUAUUGGACAAUGGGCGCAAGCCUGAUCCAGCCAUACCGCGUGGGUGAAGAAGGCCUUCGGGUUGUAAAGCCCUUUUGUUGGGAGAGAAAUCCAGCUGGCUAAUACCCGGUUGGGAUGACGGUACCCAAAGAAUAAGCACCGGCUAACUUCGUGCCAGCCGCCGCGGUAA
This 506-nucleotide ribosomal RNA is filed under the name uncultured bacterium. Its description in RNAcentral is "partial 16S ribosomal RNA". It matches the Rfam family "Bacterial small subunit ribosomal RNA", at positions 29 to 523 of the family's 1533-position model. The record is from RNAcentral.